This 148-nucleotide non-coding RNA is filed under the name Homo sapiens (human). The record is from Rfam by way of RNAcentral. Lineage: Eukaryota; Metazoa; Chordata; Mammalia; Primates; Hominidae.
GCCGGGCGUGGUGAUGUGCGCCUGUAAUCCCAGCUACUCAGGAGGCUGAGGCAGGAGAAUCACUUGAACCCAGGAGGUGAAGGCUGCCAUGAGCCGAGAUCAUGCCACUGCACUCCAGCCUGGGCGACAGAGUGAGACUCUGUCUCAA